UAAGUGUACUUUGUUGCUUUGACUACUCUUCUGUAGUCUCAUUGUCUAUUACGUUCUAAAUAAUUGUAGUGGGUUCAACCCAUGAAUUGCGCACUCUUUCACUGUUUAGUUCUAAUUAGUUUUAAUUUUAUUCACUUUUUGCAUCACUUACCCUUAUGGUUACGUCACCUCAGAGUGAUGGCCAGCAUGCUUAGACCUUUCCAGGUCGGGGUGUAUCAGUUUGGUAUCAGAGCAUAGGUUUAGACAGUCCUGCACUUCCUAGUAUGUUUUAACUCUUGUUUCUUAUGUUAGAGCCAUGCCACCUCAUAGAGAGCCACGUUCUCCAGCUAAGAAUAACUUUCCGGACUUUGGGCAGUUUGGUGAAGCUAUCGCCACUGCUAUUCAGUCUUCACUUCGUCCUACCCCGAGGAAUACUCUGGAUAUUGUAUCUCGCCUGAAGAUUAAUGAUUUCUUUGGUAAUAAGGGAUCUGAGAAGUCAGAGAUAUGGUUCGAUCAUGUGGAGAAGACUUUUCGAGUUAUGUACAGGGAGGGUAAUCUUUCCCUAGAGAGAUGGGUCGAGACAGCGACCUAGUUUUUUCGAUUGGGAGCAGAAUCUUGGUGGGAUCACGAGAGGAGAUCAUUAUUUGCUGCGAAUGCUAUAGAUUAGGAUGUUUUCAAACGUUUGUUCCAGACCAGAUUUAUUCCUUCUAAGUAUUUGGAUAGUAAGAAGAAUGAGUUCACAAACCUGAGGUAGGGCAAUAUGUCAGCCACUGAGUAUCAUGGAAGGUUCACAAACUUAUCUCGUUAUUGCCCCGAGACUGCUUCCCCUCUUACACUUGCUACUACCAAUGGGGCGUAGUCUCGAAUCAGGGAGAACCAUACCAGUAUACACCUGAGGUUCCCUAUGAUCAGGGAGGCUAUCAGCAGACUCAGGGAGGUUAUCCACAGUUCCAGGGAGAUUAUACACCGUAUCAAGGCGGCGGAGCACAGUUGUAUACUGGGGGCAAUAUCAGAACCUAGACGUAGCGUCUAACAGUGGAGAUUCAAGCAGACAGACAAAUCCACCCCAACAGGGCCGAGGUAAUCAGGGUCAAGGUAAUCAGACUCAAGCUAACGAAGGUCGUGGAGGCAGACAUCAAGUUCAUGGGAGAGUUAACAACAUAUCCCUUCAAGAUGCUCCAGCGAAUCCGAACUUGAUCAUGGGUACGUUGAAUGUUCUAGGCCAUUUUGCUAAAGUUUUAAUUGAUUCUGAUGCUACACAUUCAGUUAUUUCCCAUAAGUUUGCUCAAACGACUCAACCACAUCCUACUUCACUCGACUACGAGUUAGAGUUCUCUAAGCCUAGGGGUGAAAUCUGUUAUGUUAGUUGGGAAUAUCAAGGAUGUCUUAUCCUUAUCGAAGAUGUAGUCUUGCCAGCUAAUCUUGUUCCUUUGGAUAUCGUUGAUUUUGACGUUAUCUUAGGCAUGGAUUGGUUACACUACAAUCGUGCCAAGUUGGACUAUUAUGAGAAAGUUGUUACUUUUCACCGACCAGACAUGCCUACUGUCACGUUUAUCGGUGAGCACGGUGGUCUAAAGCAUGAAGUUAUCACUGCCAUGAGGGUGAGAUGACUGUUGAAUAAAGGUUGUCAAGGUUACUUAGCUCAUGUUGUGCUAGCGGAGGAGACUACUGCAUCUGUGGAAGAAGUCGGAGUAGUUAGACAUUUUCUCGAUGUUUUUCCUGAGGAAUUACCUGGUUUACCCUCAGAUCGUGAAGUGGAGUUCACCAUCGAUCCACUUCCAAGUACUAAUCCUAUUUCUCUUGCACCUUAUCGUAUGGCUCCUGCAGAGUUAAGGGAACUUAAAACUCAGUUGCAAGAGUUAGUUGAUAAGGGCUUCAUUCAGCCAAGCACUUCCCCGUUGGGAGCUCUAGUUCUGUUUGUACGGAAGAAAGAUGGAACUUUGAGGUAAUGCAUAGAUUACAGGCAGUUGAAUCGGGUAACAAUUAAAAACCGUUAUCCGUUACCUCAUAUUGAUGACAUCUUCAAUCAGCUUAAAGGUGUUUGUGUGUUUGUGUGUUCUAGAAGAUUGAUCUGAGGUCUGGUUACUAUCAAUUGAAGAUUAGAAGCGACGACGUUCCGAAGACAGAUUCCAGAACUCGAUAUGGUCAUUACGAGUUCCUAGUGAUGCCAUUUGGAUUGACUAAUGCACCAGCAGCUUUCAUGAACCUAAUGAAUCAGUAUUCCAUCCAUAUCUCAACAGGUUCGUCAUUGUUUUCAUAGAUGACAUUUUGAUGUAUUCGAAGAAUGAAACUGAUCAUGUCAGGCAUCUGCGUUUGGUUCUAAAUAUGCUAAGGGCAAAUCGGUUUUAUGCUAAGUUCAGCAAAUGUUAGUUUUGGCUGGAUCAAGUGUCAUUUUUAAGGCACGUGGUAUCAGCUUAGGCUGUGCUUGUGGAUCCUCAGAAAAUAGCAGCUGUGGGAAAUUGGGAACAACCUCGGACAGUUACGGAAGUCCAAAGCUUUCUUGGUCUUGCUGGUUAUUAUCAACGCUUCGUGAAAGACUUUUCGACCAUAGCACUACCUAUGACAAAAUUGACUAGAAAAAAUGUUCAUUUUGUGUGGAGUAGUGAGUGUGAGCAGAGUUUCCAGCAGUUGAAGUACCUUAUCACUCAUGCAUCUAUCUUAGCACUUCCCGAUAAUGGUGGGAACUUCGAGAUCUACAAUGAUGCGUCUCUGAAUGGUCUUGGUUGUGUGUUAAUGCAGCAUGAUAAAGUGAUUGCUUAUGCAUCGCGGCAGUUAAAGCCCCAUGAGAAGAACUAUCCUACUCAUGAUCUCGAGUUGGCAGCGAUCAUCUUUACUUCAAAAAUUUGGAGGCACUAUCUUUAUGGGGGAAAAUGUAAGAUCUUCACUGAUCAUAAAAGCCUUAAAUACAUCUUCAAUUAGCCGAACCUCAAUCUCCGGCAGUGAAGGUGGGUAGAGUUACUCAGUGAUUAUGAUUACACCAUUGAGUAUCACUCAGGUCGUGCCAAUUCAGUAGCUGAUGCUCUUAGUAAGAAGUCUCAUGGCCAACUUAAUGCUUUUUAUGCUAGUCGCAUUCUUAUUUUGACUGACCUGAGAUCCAUUGGAGUAGUUUUGAAAGAGGGUCGUCAGAAGGCCCUAAUUGCCAGUUUUCAGAUCAGACCUGUUCUGUUGGAUCGUGUUCUUGAAGCUCAGAGGAACGAUACAAAAUCUCGUGAAUUGAUUUAGGCAGUGUCGGAUAGGAGAAAGAAAUACCUCUGGAUUAGAGAUCCUGGAGGCAUGCUUAUGCAAGGCAAACAGAUGUAUGUACCAAAUGUUGAGGAAUUGAAGAAAGACAUAUUGGAUGAAGUGCAUAUUUCUGCUUAUGCCAUGCACCCUGGGAGCACUAAGAUGUAUCAUACCAUCCAUCACUUCUACUAUUGGCCAGGUAUGAAAAGAGAAGUUGCAUAAUAUGUUAGUUGUUGUGAAAUUUGCCAGUAGGUUAAGGUAGAAAGGAAAAAGCCGUUUGGAUUGCUGCAACCACUCCCGAUACCUCUGUGGAAAUGGGAAGAUAUUACGAUGGAUUUCAUGUACAAGUUACCUCGUAUGCGAAAUGAUUACGAUGGUAUCUGAGUGGUGGUUGAUCAACUUACCAAGUCAGCGCAUUUCAUACCUGUUCGUGAGAAUUACUUGUUGAGUUAGUUGGCCGAACGGUUCAUCUCUGAAGUGGUUAGGUACCACGGAGUUCCAGUUAGUAUCAUUUAUGAUCUGGAUCCUUGAUUUACUUCGAAGUUCUGGGUAGCUUUUCAGGAAGCUUUGGGAUCGAGAUUACUCUACAACACCGCUUAUCAUCCUCAAACUGAUGGGCAGUUAGAGAGAACUAUCCAGACUUUGGAAGAUAUGUUGAGAUUGUCAAUUCUACAGUUUGGAGACGCUUGGCACAAAUGCUUACCGUUGAUAAAGUUUGCAUACAACAACAGCUUCCAUUCUAGUAUUAGUAUGGCCCCGUUUGAAACGUUGUAUGGGAAACCAUGUCGUACUUCACUUUGUUGGUCCGAGGUUGGCGAACGAGUUUUAAUGGGCCCUGAGAUCGUGGAGGAGACAACGCAUGAUAAAGGCUAACCUGAAAGCGGCCCAGAAUGGGCAGAAGAGUAUCACCGACAAACAUUCUACCGACAGAGUUUAUGAGGUUGGUGAUUGGGUAUUCUUGAAAUUAUCGUCGUGGAAAGGUGUUGUGCAAUUAGGCAAGAGAGGAAACUCAGCCCUAGGUACAUCGGGCCAUACCAGAUCGUUGAACGAGUUAGGGAAGUUGCUUAUCAACUUGCAUUGCCACUAGAGUUGGCGAGAGUGCAUAAUGUGUUUCAUGUAUCGAUGCUACGAAAGUACGUUUCUGAUCCGUCACACGUAAUCCUUCCUCAGCCACUGGAGAUCAAUCCAUAUUUGACCUAUGAUGAGGUUCCAGUGACUAUCCUUGAUUGCAAAGAUAAGGUUCUUAGGAACAAAACAGUGCGGAUGGUGAAGGUUUUGUGAAGGAACCACUUAGUGGAGGAAGCCACUUCGGAGACAAAAGAGCGUAUGCGAGAUAUGUAUCCACGUCUAUUUUAUGGCUUUGAUGGUAGUCAGUAUUGAAAUUUUGGGGAUGAAAUUUUUAUAAAGGGGUAGAUUGUGACGACCCGUCCUUAAUUUUUCUAUGUAAUUUCUCCCCGAAUAUGUAAUUUGAUGAUUAUACCCUUAGUGGCAAAUGACGUGGACGUGUUUAUUUCUUCCUUGGUUAUUAUCUCACUAUCACAUUUAGAUUUGACACGUUAUUACGAGGGUACGAGUAUUUUACCCUUCUAAAAUAUACUAUUUCUGAUAGUUUUAGAUUUCCUUUUACUAUAGGAAAUCCAAAACCCUAUCCCUAGUAUCCUAUUUAGCCAACCUGUGCACCCCAUUAUUACACCAACCAAUCACUUUUCAUAAUUUACUCUCCAAUCUCGUCAGUUUCCUCCUACACUCUACCCAAUCAGAAAAAGCUAAGAAAAUUUCAAAACCUCUCUCUCUUCCGUGAACUCUCUCUUCCUCUGCAACUCCAUGAGUGAGCUCCAAAGCUCGUAGAUCGAACAAAUAAACUACAUCAUCAUGCUUAUCUUAGUCCCACGACCCCUAGUUCGCAUGUUGACCUAGUUUUGGACGUCCAACUCGGAAGGUCCGACUCGGCGAGUUCGAUAUAAUGAUUUUCAGGCCAUUCAUGGCUUAGGUAAGCUUCGAGAAAUCCUUAGAGCCUUCAUUUCACUUCUAUUGGUUGUUGUUGAUCCUUUGUUUGUGCUUUGGACGUGGUUUUACCUAGAAACUCGAGGAGAAGGUGAACCUACACAUUUUUCAUUUCAGAACCGUGGCCAUUUGGUCACUUUCAAACCAAUUUUUUGGUCAACCUCGACCACAACUGGACUUCUUCUAGGUACAAACUUGUUCUCUACAUUCCAAACUUCAUAAUGGCUUUUGAAUCACUGAGUUUGGUUAAGUAACGAGUUAGAAAUCAACUUUGGAAGUUAGGAAGAAAAUUUAAGUUUCUGGAAAAAUUGUAACCGUGGUCGUUUGGCCACUUUCAGUCCAAAUUUCUGAUUAACUAGUCAUAUUGGAACUUUCUGUGAAUUGGGAUCGGUAGACCACAUUCCUAGAGCUUUAAUUUGGCUUUUGUAGAAGUGAAUUUGGUUGAGAAUCGAGCUCGUUAGGAGCUUUGGAAGUUAGGCCAAAAAUCAGCAAAACUGCAGAUUUUCGCGAGGAAGGCAAGUACAGUGUACUCGCGGGCUUCGUGGACCGCGCAUGGGUUUUCUGGCAGCCAUUUUGGGCGGCGCGUGGGGGCGCGUCUGGCCUCUAAUCGGUGUGUGGGGGCGCGUCUGGCCUCCGGCCAGUGCGUGGGGGUGCGUCUAGCCUCCAACCGGCGCGUGGUUGACACGUGAGUGUUCGUGUCGUCGAGUAGAUCGAUUUCAUAUAUUUACACCCUUGGUUUGAGCAAACUAUGGGGGUUUUCUUUAGGUUUCCGUUAUAUGUUUUAAUUAAUAUUAUUUUAGUUAUUUCACAUUUAGGGGAAACUUAUCCUGAGGAUUUUCGAGGUCAAGCUAGGCUUAGGGGCUACGACCCAGAGAUGUACUUGUGAAUGGGCAGUUGUUUUAUACCUGUAUAUAUAUAUUUAUAGUUUCCAUAAAUGCGUAUUUACUUCACUUUUACGCCUAUAUUGCCUAGUAUCAUUAUUGUGAAAUAAUUUGUGAAUAAUGCUGCUAUAUGGUUGUGAUAUUACUAUCAUGGCAUUCAUACAUAUUUGUACAUGCUCAUCUUGCUGCACCCGGUGUUAGUACUCGCCCCAAGGCCAGGGCCAGUCCUUCAUGUGUAUGUUCACAUCCGCACCGUUCGCUCACGUUGGAUCCAAGUUUAGGUGCCAGUCCUGUCGGGUAGAUUGCACUAGGCAAUCCGACUUGUAUGUGAUGUGCUUUUGCACCAGUCUUCACGCGAUCGUGGUACUAGAGCAUAUUGAUUACACCCAGUCAUGUUCGUGUCAGAAACCAUAUGUUCUAACUUGUGCGUCAGCUUAGAUGGAUGAGCACUUAGUUAUAAUUGAUUAUCAUAUGAUUAUUACUGUGGCAUAUGAUACAUCAUUUACUUGGCAUAUUUCUGAUUAUUAUAUUGAAUUUCAUACUUACGUAGUAUGUUUUAAGGAAACUAUACUUGUUUUAUGGCAAGGGGUUAGUAUAUUCAAAGAUAAAGGUUUUCUUAUAAGCAUUGUUUUGCUGACCCACUCAACUUUAUUUUUUUUUUCGCCCCUCCAGGACCUAGAUAGCUGUACUCUUUGUGGCAUUCGAGGAAUCCCGGCAGUUCUGACAUUCCCUUCUAUUUUAGACGUACGAACUUAUCACUAUCAUGUAAUAAAUGUACUUUGGUUGCUUUGACUACUCUUCUGUAGUCUCACUGUCUAUUACGCUCUGAAUAAUUGUAGUGGGUUCAACCCAUGAAUUGCGCACUCUUUCACUGUUUAGUUCUAAUUAGUUUUAAUUUUAUUCACUUUUGCAUCACUUACCCUUAUGGUUACGUCACCUCACGAUGAUGGCCAGCAUGCUUCGACCUUCCCAGGUCGUGGUGUGUCAAUGGAGUUGGUGGAUAUAAGUACUGGUUUGGUACUAAGGUGCUUCUAUAAAAAGUGGGUAUAAA
This 7137-nucleotide long non-coding RNA is filed under the name Malus domestica (apple). RNAcentral's name for it is "long non-coding RNA (MDOM_LNC018318)". Lineage: Eukaryota; Viridiplantae; Streptophyta; Magnoliopsida; Rosales; Rosaceae. The record is from RNAcentral.